AUGCACGCUGGCGGCGUGCCUAAUCCAUGCAAGUCGAGCGAACAGAUAAGGAGCUUGCUCCUUUGACGUUAGCGGCGGACGGGUGAGUAACACGUGGAUAACCUACCUAUAAGACUGGGAUAACUUCGGGAAACCGGAGCUAAUACCGGAUAACAUAUUGAACCGCAUGGUUCAAUAGUGAAAGGCGGCUUUGCUGUCACUUAUAGAUGGAUCCGCGCCGUAUUAGCUAGUUGGUAAGGUAACGGCUUACCAAGGCAACGAUACGUAGCCGACCUGAGAGGGUGAUCGGCCACACUGGAACUGAGACACGGUCCAGACUCCUACGGGAGGCAGCAGUAGGGAAUCUUCCGCAAUGGGCGAAAGCCUGACGGAGCAACGCCGCGUGAGUGAUGAAGGUCUUCGGAUCGUAAAACUCUGUUAUCAGGGAAGAACAAAUGUGUAAGUAACUGUGCACAUCUUGACGGUACCUGAUCAGAAAGCCACGGCUAACUACGUG
Molecule: ribosomal RNA, 496 nt
Filed under: uncultured bacterium
Lineage: Bacteria
Description: partial 16S ribosomal RNA
Rfam family: Bacterial small subunit ribosomal RNA
Source: RNAcentral